This 549-nucleotide ribosomal RNA is filed under the name uncultured Glomus. RNAcentral describes it as "SSU rRNA". It matches the Rfam family "Eukaryotic small subunit ribosomal RNA", at positions 548 to 1098 of the family's 1831-position model. The record is from RNAcentral. Lineage: Eukaryota; Fungi; Glomeromycota; Glomeromycetes; Glomerales; Glomeraceae.
UUGGAGGGCAAGUCUGGUGCCAGCAGCCGCGGUAAUUCCAGCUCCAAUAGCGUAUAUUAAAGUUGCUGCAGUUAAAAAGCUCGUAGUUGAAUUUCGGGAUCAAAUAAUCGGUCGUGCCUCCGGUACGUACUGGUUUUAUUGGUUCCUCCCUUCUGACGAACCAUGAUGUCAUUAAUUUGAUGUGGUGGAGAAUCAGGACUGUUACCUUGAAAAAAUUAGAGUGUUUAAAGCAGGCUAACGCUUGAAUACAUUAGCAUGGAAUAAUGAAAUAGGACGUUCGACCCUAUUUUGUUGGUUUCUAGGAUCGACGUAAUGAUUAAUAGGGAUAGUUGGGGGCAUUAGUAUUCAAUUGUCAGAGGUGAAAUUCUUGGAUUUAUUGAAGACUAACUACUGCGAAAGCAUUUGCCAAGGAUGUUCUCAUUAAUCAAGAACGAAAGUUAGGGGAUCGAAGACGAUCAGAUACCGUCGUAGUCUUAACCAUAAACUAUGCCGACUAGGGAUCGGAUGAUGUUAAUUUUUUAAUGACUCAUUCGGCGCCUUACGGGAAAC